RNAcentral lists this ribosomal RNA (530 nucleotides) under uncultured bacterium. RNAcentral describes it as "partial 16S ribosomal RNA". It matches the Rfam family "Bacterial small subunit ribosomal RNA", at positions 355 to 895 of the family's 1533-position model. The record is from RNAcentral.
UGGGGAAUAUUGCACAAUGGGCGCAAGCCUGAUGCAGCAACGCCGCGUGAGGGACGACGGCCUUCGGGUUGUAAACCUCUUUUAGUAGGGAAGAAGCGAAAGUGACGGUACCUGCAGAAAAAGCACCGGCUAACUACGUGCCAGCAGCCGCGGUAAUACGUAGGGUGCGAGCGUUGUCCGGAAUUAUUGGGCGUAAAGAGCUCGUAGGCGGUCUGUCGCGUCUGCUGUGAAAACCCGAGGCUCAACCUCGGGCCUGCAGUGGGUACGGGCAGACUAGAGUGCGGUAGGGGAGAAUGGAAUUCCUGGUGUAGCGGUGGAAUGCGCAGAUAUCAGGAGGAACACCGAUGGCGAAGGCAGUUCUCUGGGCCGUAACUGACGCUGGGGAGCGAAAGCGUGGGGAGCGAACAGGAUUAGAUGACCCUGGUAGUCCACGCCGUAAACGUUGGGCGCUAGAUGUGGGGACCAUUCCACGGUUUCCGUGUCGCAGCUAACGCAUUAAGCGCCCCGCUGGGGAGUACGGCCGCAAGGCU